AUUGAACGCUGGCGGCAGGCCUAACACAUGCAAGUCGAGCGGAUGAAGGGAGCUUGCUCCUGGAUUCAGCGGCGGACGGGUGAGUAAUGCCUAGGAAUCUGCCUGGUAGUGGGGGAUAACGUCCGGAAACGGGCGCUAAUACCGCAUACGUCCUGAGGGAGAAAGUGGGGGAUCUUCGGACCUCACGCUAUCAGAUGAGCCUAGGUCGGAUUAGCUAGUUGGUGGGGUAAAGGCCUUCCAAGGCGGCGAUCCGUAACUGGUCUGAGAGGAUGAUCAGUCACACUGGAACUGAGACACGGUCCAGACUCCUACGGGAGGCAGCAGUGGGGAAUAUUGGACAAUGGGCGAAAGCCUGAUCCAGCCAUGCCGCGUGUGUGAAGAAGGUCUUCGGAUUGUAAAGCACUUUAAGUUGUGAUGAAGGGCAGUAAGUUAAUACCUUGCUGUUUUGACGUUACCAACAGAAUAAGCACCGGCUAACUUCGUG
This 484-nucleotide ribosomal RNA is filed under the name uncultured bacterium. RNAcentral describes it as "partial 16S ribosomal RNA". It matches the Rfam family "Bacterial small subunit ribosomal RNA", at positions 30 to 507 of the family's 1533-position model. The record is from RNAcentral.